This 75-nucleotide transfer RNA is filed under the name Planctomycetota bacterium. RNAcentral's name for it is "Planctomycetes bacterium (subsurface metagenome) tRNA-Cys". It matches the Rfam family "tRNA". Rfam says of the family: Transfer RNA (tRNA) molecules are approximately 80 nucleotides in length. The record is from RNAcentral. Lineage: Bacteria; Pseudomonadati; Planctomycetota.
GGCGGCAUAGCCAAGUGGCUAAGGCAACGGAUUGCAAAUCCGUCACCCCCGGUUCGAGUCCGGGUGCCGCCUCCA